CGUAAACAUAAUAUGCACUGAGGUUAUUGCUUAAAGGACCACUAUAGGCACCCAGACAACUUCAGCUUAAUGAAGGGGUCUGGGUGCGAGAUCCAGCUUGGUUUAACCCUUUUUGCUGUAAACAUAGCAGUUUCAGAGUCCGACCACUCAUCUAGGGUACGUGCCCGUUUCCAAGAUCUGGCUGCUUUUGCCCAGCCAGAGGCUCUUUUGCGCGGUUGUAACGCGCCCUCCUUGAUCGCCAAGGGCGGAUCAGUCAUCAUAGGCAUAGCCUUAUCAGUGGAGUGAGAGCUCAGGUGCUUAGUUUUAUUUUUCGCCUUGCGGGACACAGUGUCCGCAGUGGCGGAUGGGGGAUGCACCACAGAGGUAGCUAUGUGUGCGUUAUGGGCUUGGGAUAACGCUUGUGUGAGAGUUUGGGAGAAUGAAGCGGACAUAGCUCCCAUAGCGGAGGCCAGCGCUUUAUUUAUAGAUGCAGCCAUAGUAGUGUCCAGUAUAUUCUGGAAUUCCUCAGAGGCCAUUAAGGCUGUAUCAUCAGUCGUGGGGUUUAGAAAUGGGUCCACAGUG
Pelobates cultripes (western spadefoot toad) is the source of this 561-nucleotide non-coding RNA. Lineage: Eukaryota; Metazoa; Chordata; Amphibia; Anura; Pelobatidae. The record is from the annotation of a GenBank genome assembly.